RNAcentral lists this ribosomal RNA (253 nucleotides) under uncultured prokaryote. RNAcentral's name for it is "partial 16S ribosomal RNA". It matches the Rfam family "Bacterial small subunit ribosomal RNA", at positions 524 to 776 of the family's 1533-position model. The record is from RNAcentral.
UACGAGGGGGGCGAGCGUUGUUCGGAAUUAUUGGGCGUAAAGGGUGCGUAGGCGGUUUGGUAAGUCUUGUGUGAAAUCUCCAGGCUCAACUUGGAGUCUGCACGAGAAACUGCCGGGCUUGAGUGUGGGAGAGGUGAGUGGAAUUCCUGGUGUAGAGGUGAAAUUCGUAGAUAUCGGGAGGAACACCAGUGGCGAAGGCGGCGACCUGGGCCAAUAUUGACGCUGAGGUGCGAAAGCGUGGGGAGCAAACAGG